Oncorhynchus masou masou (cherry salmon) is the source of this 3482-nucleotide RNA transcript. It is a transcript of the gene named monoacylglycerol lipase ABHD6-like, with no coding region annotated. The transcript is spliced from 11 exons. NCBI's taxonomy places the organism in Eukaryota, Metazoa, Chordata, Actinopteri, Salmoniformes, Salmonidae. The record is from RefSeq and is a predicted model, not a curated record.
UGACUCCCUCUCUAUUGGUCGAUCUUCCUUUUCCUUGACUUGAUGUCGGCAGUCAUUUUAUGAAACGUUGUUACAUAUCUCAGUGAACAUUGCUUCAUGACAUCUCUAGGUGAAGAGUCAGUUGAUGGAAAUGUAGGCUUUCGGUGAAGAUUACUCGGGUAUUUUCAUAGAAAGACUGCAGGAAGAGAAGAGAGGGAGCGAGCGAGAGGAGUGUUUCAUUGUAACAACCGAAGUCUUGCCUACAGGAACUGCAGCGCUACAGCCAUGGAUGUCGACGUGGUGAACAUGUUUGUCCUGGCGGGAGGAACUCUAGUCAUCCCUAUCCUGGCCUUCUUUGCCUCAUUCUACAUGUGGCCUGCUGCUAUCAUCCAUGUCUACAACUGGUACUGGCGUCGGCGGCUGGGCCUGCAGGUUGUCUACUCUGAGAACAGAGGCUACCGGUUCUGUUACUCCCACAGAGGGAAGCCUGGUCCGGGCCGCCCCACUAUCCUCAUGCUCCACGGGUUUUCUGCUAACAAGGACAUGUGGCUGCCUGUGGCUAAGUUCCUGCCCAAGCACCAGCACCUGCUGUGCAUUGACAUGCCCGGACACGAGGGCACCAGCCGAACCGAUGCCAGAGACUAUUCCAUAGAGGGACAGGUCAAGAGGAUACGACAGUUCGUGGAGAGUGUCCGUCUGACCAAGAGGCCCUUCCAUCUCGUGGGCACAUCCAUGGGAGGAAACGUUGCUGGAGUAUACGCUGCCCGUUACCCCAACGACCUUUGCAGUGUCACCCUCAUCUGUCCGGCAGGUCUUCCUACCGAGAGUCCGUUUGUGGAGCGUCUGAGGGAGUUGGAGAAGGACCAGGAACUGAGUGGGAGCCUGGAUCCCCAGGGCAUCCCUCUGAUCCCCUCUACCCCAGAGGAGAUGGACAAUAUGCUCAAACUCUGCUCUUUCGUACGCUUCAAGAUCCCUCAACAGAUUCUUCAGGGAUUGGUGGAUGUUCGAGUUCCAAACAACGACUUCUAUAGAGAGUUGUUCAUGGAGAUCGUAGGAGAGAAGUCCAGACACUCCUUACAUGAGAACAUGCAUCUGAUCACUGUCCCAACACAGGUCAUCUGGGGGAAGCAUGACCAGGUGGUGGAUGUUUCUGGAUCAUCUAUGCUGAAGGAGGCUGUCUCUGACUGUCAGGUGGACCUGCUGGACAACUGUGGUCACUCUGUGGUGAUGGAGCGACCUCGCAAGACAGCUCAGCUCAUCAUGGACUUUAUCAAUAACCAACACAACACUGGCUCUGGCUCCAACAACAGCAAGAAACUCUCCUGAGAUUGACUACCUGGAGCUUAGACUUUAUAGUGCCCGUUUCCCGGGCAAAGUUAAACCAAGUCCUAGACGAAGAAGCACUUUCAAUGGGGGUUUGAUCUCCAUUGAACAUGCGUUUUAGUCAGGGACGAGGUUUGUCAAGGACUAGGUUCCAGUCAGUGACUAGGUUUCAGUCAGGGUUUCAGGUUUAAUUCGGGAAUAGAUUUCAUUUAGGGUUUCAGGUUUCAGUCAGAGACUAGGUUUCAGUCAGGGUUUCAGGUUUCAGUCAGAGACUAGGUUUCAGUCAGGGUUUCAGGUUUCAGUCAGGGUUUCAGGUUUCAGUCAGGGACUAGGUUUCAGUCAGGGACUAGGUUUCAGUCAGGGUUUCAGGUUUCAGUCAGAGACUAGGUUUCAGUCAGGGUUUCAGGUUUCAGUCAGGGUUUCAGGUUUCAGUCAGGGUUUCAGGUUUCAGUCAGGGACUAGGUUUCAGUCAGGGACUAGGUUUCAGUCAGGGUUUCAGGUUUCAGUCAGGGUUUCAGGUUUCAGUCAGGGACUAGGUUUCAGUCAGGGACUAGGUUUCAGUCAGGGUUUCAGGUUUCAGUCAGGGACUAGGUUUCAGUCAGGGACUAGGUUUCAGUCAGGGUUUCAGGUUUCAGUCAGGGUUUCAGGUUUCAGUCAGGGACUAGGUUUCAGUCAGGGACUAGGUUUCAGUCAGGGUUUCAGGUUUCAGUCAGGGUUUCAGGUUUCAGUCAGGGACUAGGUUUCAGUCAGGGUUUCAGGUUUCAGUCAGGGACUAGGUUUCAAUCAGGGUUUCAGGUUUCAGUCAGGGACUAGGUUUCAAUCAGGGUUUCAGGUUUCAGUCAGGGUUUCAGGUUUCAGUCAGGGUUUCAGGUUUCAGUCAGGGACUAGGUUUCAGUCAGGGAAUAGGUUUCAGUCAGGGUUUCAGGUUUCAGUCAGGGACUAGGUUUCAGUCAGGGUUUCAGGUUUCAGUCAGGGUUUCAGGUUUCAGUCUGGGACUAGGUUUCAGUCAGGGACUAGGUUUCAGUCAGGGUUUCAGGUUUCAGUCAGAGACUAGGUUUCAGUCAGGGACUAGGUUUCAGUCAGGGACUAGGUUUCAGUCAGGGUUUCAGGUUUCAGUCAGGGACUAGGUUUCAGUCAGAGACUAGGUUUCAGUCAGGGUUUCAGGUUUCAGUCAGGAUUUCAGGUUUCAGUCAGGGUUUCAGGUUUCAGUCAGGGUUUCAGGUUUCAGUCAGGGUUUCAGGUUUCAGUCAGGGUUUCAGUAAGGUACUAGGUUUUAGGUUUAAUCUGUGUCCAGGAAACCAGCCUACAGUGAGCGUUUAUCUGUAAAAAAUCUAAUAAUCUGUAAAUGAUGUAGUAAUAUUUUUCUAAUCUAGUCCUCAGGGAAUGAGCCCAUCAACCAACUGGCUGCGGUUUCAUGCUUGAAUUUGAUUUUAAGGUGAAGGAAGACUGUGUAAAAUACUGGGAUACAAUAUUGUGACAUUGUAUUUAUUUAGUGAUUUAAGGACCUUAACUUCAAAUGUGAUAUUCUUUGUUUAAUUUCCAAUGUGUUACUAAACUUACAUGAUUUUGCCAAAACAUGAUUUUUAUAUAUUGUAUUUGAGUUUGUGUUACCUCUGAGUCAGCUGAAGGACUGUGGUCGGUAGUGUCUGAGACUGAUCCCGCCUGAAAACACAAGAUGUAGAGAAAGACUCAAACUACUUCUAGUUGUUGUUAGAUUGCUUUGUCUUGUUGAAGGUUGGUACAUGGUCUUACUGUUAUCCACAGACAACAUAUUACACCUUGUACAUUAGGAACAUAUCGAAGGAGCAUUUGUCAUUGUGUUUUAUGAUCAAAUUAAAUGUCAUUAAAAACAAUGGAGCGACAAUGACGUACAUUUUGUAAUAUUAUUAUUAACCAAGUACUUUUUCUUCAAGCGCUGCUAUACCCUGUUAUAUGUGAUAUAACUUGACGGUAUCGAUGCAUGACGAUAGAGUAUCGAUGCAAUGAGACACAACAACCAACGCCUGCAUAUUUUCAAGUUUGCUUUGUUUAGUUUAAGCUGAUGCCAUGUCGAUAAGUUACACUGAGACAAAAAAAUCAUUUGUGACACUUGUUAUCCUUGUACAUGUUAAUGAGUUGUCAACCUCCUCAAUGUUUUUGCUUGUUCACGUAAAGCACCAAAUAAAACCCUUUUCUCAUGA